This is a long non-coding RNA of Stegostoma tigrinum, 5719 nucleotides long. RefSeq lists it as uncharacterized. NCBI's taxonomy places the organism in Eukaryota, Metazoa, Chordata, Chondrichthyes, Orectolobiformes, Stegostomatidae. The transcript has 3 exons. The record is from RefSeq and is a predicted model, not a curated record.
GUCCGCGGGCGCAAUAUCUCUGCGAAUGAGGGUUAGCUGCUUGCCGAAGGUACAGUACACGGGAUAAAAAGGAAAGCUGCAAAAAAACGGGAGGGAAAUACUUUCGGUAUUGACUGAGAGGCUUUAUUAGCCGUUGAUGCAUGUCAGAAAACAAAUUUUAACAUGCCGGUCCCGUGUUUUGCAGCAAACGGAAAAACUGCUACGGACCUGAGGCUGCGAUAGGCAGAGGAUAUUUAUUGAGAAUAAUUUGCAGACCAGGAUCCCAAUGCAAGUUCUCCAUUAAGCGGAGUGAUCAGGAUCUGAGUAUCAUUGACACUUAACAGUGAAAGGAAAGAGGUUUAACCAUUCUAUGCGUGGGAGAAUACUCCUGGACCUUUCGUGAUCUAAUCCCGUAACAGUGUGAGCUGCUACAAUGCACAUGCUAGUAAAAGCAUAAGAGGACAGAUGAGAUGAGUGCAUGGCUGGAGCUAUAACUUAAAAAGAUUUGGAUUCCUGAGGCAUUGAGACUGUUUGUUUGUUUCUGGGGAAGGUGGGACAUGCACAAGCUUGAACAAUUGUCCUGGGCAGAGCUGGGACAGAUAUUCUUGUUGAUGCUUUUGCUAGUUCCACUGGUGAGGAUUUAAACUCGUAUGACAGGGGAAUGGGAACCAAAGUAUACCUUUAGCAGUAAAAGACUCAAAUCAGCAAAUGGGACGUGAAAUUAGUUCAUGAUGUUGUCGGUGGCUGAAAGAUUAAAAGAAAGAAGGAUUAAUCAAGAUCAAAUCUCUUUUCAUACAUCAGUCCUGUGAUCCCAGGAAUUGGUCUGGUGAACCUUCUUUGCGAUCAUUCAGUAGCCAGACCAUCCUUCCUUUGGAAAGGAGAACAAAGGUGCACACUACUGCAGGUGUGGUCUCACCAAGGCCCUUAUAGAAAGACAUCCCUCCUCCUGUACUCGAAUCCUGUCACAAUGAAGGCCGAAAUAUCAUUUGCAUUCUUCACUACUUGCUGCUGCCUGUUUCCUAAAAGAGAAUAGGAGAGAAACACGGAACUAAAUGGGGUCAGACAGUCGGGUACAAUUGUUGAACACACUGUCCCCAUUGUAUCGGUGCUGGCCAUCAAGCACCUAUUUAAGCUAGGCCCGUUUUCUGGCACUCGGUGUGUAACCUAUAUUAUGGUGCAGUGGAUGAUCAUCUCAACACUUCUUCAAGAUUGCAAUGGUUCCUGCAUCUAUUAACAUUUCAGAUGCUGCCAGAUCUACUGUGUAUCUCCAUCUUUUUCUGUUUUUAUUCCAGAUUUCGGGUAUUUUGCUGUGUAUUCUUAGUCCUUCAGAAGCAUCAGAGGGUAUGGGGAGAAAACAGGAAUUGGAUUCAUUUUCAGAUGUAUAAAAUGCCUGCCCUUCAUGUCUGUCCAAACUCUAUCUCUUUUUGUAGUUUUGGGCAAACGCUGACUGUUUCCUUUCCCUGAAGGACAUUAAAUGAACCAGUUCAGUUUUACUGAUAAUCCAGCAGUGCCCCUCAGUGUUGCAUCCACAAUUGACCAGAUUAAUUUCUGAGUUUCACAAUCUUUGUGUGUGUUCUUCUGGUUUCUCUCUCUCUCUCUCUCUCUCUCUCUCUCUCUCUCUCUACGUUUCUUUUUUUUCUUCAGUUUGAAAUUUUGAUUGCAUUCAGAGAAAUCAAACAAAACCACAUCCAGAUCUGACACUCAAUCUGUUUGUCAUAACCUAAUUAUCUCAGGAUUUUGAACAUUAAAGGAAGAAGCACUGUUCACACCAGGGAGAAAUGCGUAUUGUCUGUGUGUCGAAGAGUCUUUGAAGAUUCAUCUGAAAUGCCCAAACACCAGCGCAGUCACACUUGGGAGAGACUGUGGAAAUGUGGGGAUUGUGGGAAGGGAUUUAUUUACCCAUCCCAGCUGGAAAUGCACCAACGCAGUCACACUGGGGAGAAACCGUUCAUUUGCUCUGAUUGUGGGCUGGGAUUCACUCAGUCAAGCAACCUGCUGAAACACCGAGUUCACAGUGGGGAGAGACUGUUCACAUGUUCCGAGUAUGGGAAGGGAUUUGCUCGCUCACUCAACCAACCUGCUGAGACACCAGCGAGUUCACUCUGGGGACAGACCAUUCACUUGUUCUAUGUGUGGAAAGGGAUUCACUCAAUCAUCCCAACUGUUAACACACCAGCAAGUUCACCACAACCACAUUUGAAGGAUUUUGCCCUUAAAUCAAGGAAUGAACUUUGAUCUUUGGGCUGUUUGUACUGGUGUCAUUAGUCCCUGCUCAAAACUUGAUCUUCUCUUGGGAAAUAAGGUAGGGCAGGUGACUGAGGGGUCAGCAGGGGCGAGAAUAUUUUGGGGCCUAUGAUUGUAUCUCUAUUAGUUUUAAAAUAAUUAUGGAAAAGGAUAGACUUUGGUCUAAGAGUCAAAGUUUUAAAUGAGACUAAGGCCAAUUUUGACACUACUAUGCUCCUUAAAAGCACAGUAAGACCGCCUAUGUGUGGGAAUGCACGAGUUGGGUGAGAUACAAAAAAGUAUUUUACAUCAGUAUUUACUGUGAUCAAGGAUACAAAAGCUAAAGAACUUAGAGAAAUGAAUGUGUAUCUUGAAAAGUUCCAUGUUGUGGAGGAGGUGGUGCUGGAUGCCUUACAGACCAUAAAGGUGGAUAAAUCCCCAGGACCUCUUCAGGUGUAUUCUCGAACUUUGCGGGAAGCUAGGCUUGCAAUUGGGCCCCUUGCUCAGAUAUUUGCACCAUUGACAGUCAUAGGUGAGCUGUUACACUGGAGGUUGGCUAAUCUGGUGCCAUUGUUUAAGAAAGGUGGUAACAGAAAACCAGGGAACAAUAAACUUUUGGUGAGCCUGACGUCAGCUGUGGGUAAGUUGUUGGAGGGAAUUCUGAGGGAUAGGAUUUACAUAUAUUUGGAAAGCGUGGACUGAAUGGGGAAUAGUCGACAUGGCUUUGUCCAUAGGAAAUUAUGUCUUACUAACUUGAUUGAGUUUUUUUGAAGAAGUUAGAAACAAGAUUGAUGGCAGAGCGGUGGAUGUUUUCGAUAUUCCGCAUGGUCGACUGAUUAACAAGGUUAGAUCACAUGGAAUCCAGGGAGAGCUGGCCAUUUGGAAAGGCGUUUGACCUGCAGUAUGCUGCAAGGAUUGGUACUUAGUAGCUAUAACUCGUACAUUCACAUCCAAAUCAUCUUUAUAAAUGACAAAAUGGAGUGGACCCAGCUCUGAUCCUUGCAGCACACCACUGGUCACAGGCCUCCAGUCUACAAAGCAACCCUCCACCAGCACUCCGUCUUCUACCUUCAAGUCAGAUCUGUUUCCAAAUGACUGGUUCUCUCUGUAUUCCAUGUGAUCUGACCUUGCUCAUCAGUCUACCAUGAGGAACCUUGUCAAACGCCUUAGUGACAUCCAUAUAGAAUACAUCCACCUCUUUGCGCUAUUCAAUCCUCUUUGUUCCUCCAUCAAAAAAAAAUCAAGUCAGUGAGACAUGAUUUCCUACACACACAGCCAUGUUGAUUAUCCCUAAUCAGUCCCUCCCUUUCCAAAUAUUUCAAGUACUAUCCCUCAGGAUUCCUAGAACGACUUUCCCACCACUAAUAUCAGGCUCACUGGCCUAUAGUUCCCUGGCUUUUCCUUACCACCUUUCUUAAAUAGUGGCACCACAUUAGCCAACUUCUGGUCCCUCACCUGUGGAUAUCGAUGACACAAAUAUCUCAGCAAGGGGCCCAGCAAUCACUUGCCUAGCUUCCCUCCGAGUUCUCGGAUACGCCUGAUCAGGUCCCAGGAAUUUAUCCGCUUUUAUGCGUUUAAAGCAUCACUACCUCUGUAAUAUGGAUAAUUUUCACGAUGUUGCUAUUUAUUUCCCCACAGUCUAUAUCUUCCAUAUCCUUUUCUGUAGUAAAUACUGAUGCAUAAUACUUGUUUUAUUAUAUUCCCCAUUUCUUGCAAUUCCACACAUAGGAGGCAUUGCUGCUUUUUAAGGGGCCCUAUCUCCCCAUAGUUAUCCUUUUUGUUCUUAAUCUAUUUGUAGAAUCCCACUGGAUUUUCCUUAAUACUAUUUGCCUAAGUUACCUCAUGUUCCCUUUUUGCCCUACUAAUUUCCCUCUUAAGUAUACUAUUGUCAUUAUACUCUUGUAAGCAUUCACUCAAUCUCUGCUGUCUAUACCUGACUUGUCCUUCCUCCUUUUUCUUGACCAAAACCUUGAUUUCUCUAGUCAUCCAGAAUUCCCUAUACCUACCAGCAUUGUCCUUCACCCGAACAGGAGUAUACUGUCCCUGAACUCUCGUUAUCUCUUUUUUUUGAAGGCUUCCCACUUUCUAACCUUUCUUUUUUACCUGCAAACAUCUGCCCCAAUCAACUUUUGAAAGCUCUUGUGUAAUACCAUUAAAAUUGGCCUUCCCCCAAUAUAGAGCUUUAACUUUCAGAUCCGGUCUACUCUUUUCCAUCACUAUUUUAAAACUAAUAGAAUUAUGGUCACUGGCCCCAAAGUCCUCCCCUGCUGAUACCCUAGUCACCUGUCCUGCUUUAUUUGCCAAGAGCAGGUCAAGUUUUGCACCUUCUGUAGUCGGUACAUCACAUACUGAAUCAGAACAUUUUCCUGUACACUCUCAGCAAACUCCGCUCCAUCCAAGCCUUUUAGACCAUGGAAUUCCCAGUCUGUUUGGAAAGUUAAAAUCCCUUCCAUCACCACCCUGUUAUUCUUACAGAUAACUUCUUUCAAAAUUAUUUGUCAGAUUCCUGCUGACUAUUGGGGGUGGCUAUAGUAUAAUCCCAAUAAGGUGAUCAUCCCUUUCUUAUUUCUCAGUUUCACCCAAAUAACUUCCCUGGAUGUAUUCUCAGAUAUAUCCUGCCUAAGUAACGCCAUAAUGUUAUCCUUGCUCAAAAAUGCCACUUUUCCCUCCUCUCUUGCUUUGCUUCCCCCUCCCCCUUCGACUUUCUAUCCUUUCUAUAGGAACUAUAUCUUAGAACAUUAAGCUGGCAGCCCUGUCCAUCUUUGAGCCUUGCCUCUGUAAUUGCAAUGAUAACCCAGUUUCAUGUUUCCAAUCUUGCCCUGAGUUCCUCUGCCUUAGCUGUUAGGCCUCUGGCAUUGAAAUAAAUGGCGUUUAAUUUAUUAAUCCUUUCGCAUUAAUCUCAAUAACAAAUACGUAACUGUAGAGUAGGUUUUGAAAAUGAUAACGUUUUAUUGCUGUAUAUCAACACAUUCACACUGGGUAAAGACAAUCCACCCACACAGUGUGUGAAAAGGGAUUCCCUAGUUCAUUAGGACGGGUUUUCAUAGAAUUCGGAGUAUUCCUACAGUAUGGAAACAGGCCCUUCGGCCCAAGAAUUCCACACAAAACCUCAGAGCAUCCCACCCAGACACAUCUCCCCGUAGCCCACCAAAUGUAUGCAUCACUGAACACUCUGGGCAAUUUAGCUUGGCGAAUCCACUAACCAGCACAUGGGAGGAAACCAGAGCACCGAGAGGAAACCCACGCAGCCACAGGGAGAAUAUGCCAACAACCACAUGCUCGGUUGCCCAAGGGUGGAAUCAAAUCCAGGUCUCUGGCACUGUGAGGCAGCAGUGCUAACCGCUGAGCCACUGUGGUUAACCACCAAUGAGUUCCCAAGAAUCUGUAGGAAUUUUUGUUGCUCGUAUUAUCUGUAUCCAAGUCAUGUUAUCUGGGCUUGUUUCUCAUGAUGUUUGAAAACACCACAUGUCUGGUUACCUAGUUGGGAGAAAAAAUGAUAUAAAUUUUAUUAAAACUA